This 981-nucleotide small RNA is filed under the name Tannerella forsythia 3313. RNAcentral's name for it is "Acido-Lenti-1 RNA". Lineage: Bacteria; Pseudomonadati; Bacteroidota; Bacteroidia; Bacteroidales; Tannerellaceae. The record is from RNAcentral.
UCAGCGGUCAGCCCUGCAAAUUCCCCCCUUUGAAGGGAUAACAUCCCUCUUCGCUCCGCUCUUCCCCCCUUUGAAGGGGGGCGGAUGUCCCUCUGCAUUCGGAUACCGUGUACCCGGCAUAACAAUUAACCAUUAAUUUGUCAUUCAGAGCGAAGCGAAGAAUCUCUUCCUUUUACUCCGCGAGAUUCCUCACUACGUUCGGAAUGACAAGAGGAGGUGUUCGGAAUGACAAAGGGGGUUAUUUGCGUUGAUUCGCGCCAUUUGCGAAAUUCGCGUUCGGAUAACCACGCAUAACAAUUAACCAUUGACAAUUAACCAUUAAUUUGUCAUUCAGAGCGAAGCGAAGAAUCUCUUUCCUUUUCAUGGCGAUAUUCCUCACUCCGUUCGGAAUGACAAAGGGGGGUAUUCGCGUCCAUUUGCGAGAUUCGCGUUCGGAUAACCCUGCAUAACAAUUAACAAUUGACCAUUAACAAUUGAAUUAUGUCAGGCUUUCAGCCCUCUGAACAAGGUCUGGGAAUCGAUAUCCCACCCUUACGGGAUGGGGCUGAAAUAUAUCGGGCUUUCAGCCCUUGUGCCCUGUGCGGGCUAAUCUCUUCGGGGCGUUGAAUAUGGACAUCCCUCCAGCCCCCCUUCAAAAGGGGGAAUGCAGGGGCUGAACGCUGACUGCUUUAAAAGCCCUGAAAGGGCGCAUUAAUUCAGCCCAAUGUGGAGCGAAGCGAAGCGUUGGGAAAACAGGAUGUACCCCGAUAAGAGGGCCGUCGGCUCACCGCCCGAGGCCCAAGGACGAACGCCGAAGCGUUCGGAAGAUUUGCUCUUUUCUUCCGAAUAAGCCUGCCUAACCGGAUACCUCGCGGCAAAAAAAUGUCAUCAGGAUGGAAAUACAUAUUUUUCGCUCGAAAGCUUGGAGAAUGUUCAAAAAAAGAAUACUUUUGAAGCCCGAAAUAAAAACCAUCCGAUGAAGAAGUGCGGAUUCACGUUACA